Molecule: ribosomal RNA, 503 nt
Filed under: uncultured bacterium
Lineage: Bacteria
Description: partial 16S ribosomal RNA
Rfam family: Bacterial small subunit ribosomal RNA
Source: RNAcentral
AUUGAACGCUGGCGGCAGGCUUAACACAUGCAAGUCGAGCGGGGUGAUGGUGCUUGCACUAUCACUUAGCGGCAGACGGGUGAGUAAUGCUUAGGAAUCUGCCUAUUAGUGGGGGACAACAUCUCGAAAGGGAUGCUAAUACCGCAUACGUCCUACGGGAGAAAGCAGGGGAUCACUUGUGACCUUGCGCUAAUAGAUGAGCCUAAGUCGGAUUAGCUAGUUGGUGGGGUAAAGGCCUACCAAGGCGACGAUCUGUAGCGGGUCUGAGAGGAUGAUCCGCCACACUGGGACGGAGACACGGCCCAGACUCCUACGGGAGGCAGCAGUGGGGAAUAUUGGACAAUGGGGGGAACCCUGAUCCAGCCAUGCCGCGUGUGUGAAGAAGGCCUUAUGGUUGUAAAGCACUUUAAGCGAGGAGGAGGUUCUUUUGGUUAAUACCCAAGAUGAGUGGACGUUACUCGCAGAAUAAGCACCGGCUAACUCUGUGCCAGCCGCCGCCGUAA